GCCGAGCAGCGAGCCAGUACACGCGUCGCUUCUUAAGAGCCGUAGGCCGUACGAAUUAGUAUUCUCCGGCCGGUGAGGACCUAGACCCAGUGUUGCUCGUGGAAUUGCCUAAUAUACUGUGUAGUGUGGCAAGUAAUGCGGGGAAUUGGGUUAGAAAGUGGCCGACGGUGUUCGCGAUCCCAAUGAAAACAGAACCGUCGAAAGGGAAUCAGGUUAAAAAUAGAAUAUCCAGUCGAAUAAGAACAGCAUUUUGGACAGUUGCUGUUGUCAAAUUUAAAAUAAACGUGGCCACAGGAGUGCAAAAGGUCUAACUAAUUCAACUGAAGAUCACGAAACGAAGAAUCGAAUCAAUAUUUCCAUUGGAUCCUCUCCGAAAAGACUCGAUCACGUCGCUGACACUUCGAAAGAAAAAGAAGCGUUUCGGGUACGCUCGACACGUGGGUAAGCGGCCGAAUAUGGAGCAUCGCGCGUGUCAGCUCGAAUACGAGCUGCCCUGUGCUCCCGAUGAUCGCGCGAUACUACAAAAGGCGGAGGAACAGGUGUCGCUCGCAUGCGGAAUGAAGCUGAUUCGGGUACGCGGCACAAUUUAAACGAGUCGCCGUCGUCGUCAGCGGCAGCGGCGGCGCCGUGGACAGGAACGGGGGCACGCACCUCGACACGUGAUCCACGGUGCAUAACCGUUUGCGCGAUAUCCAUCUAAAUGUUAAUUGACGGCAGCCGCGGCGGUCGCGUGGUCUCGCCGCGGCUCUCCGCCGUUUUCCGCGAGCGCCAACUGAGACCAAUCGUUUCACGGAAGAGUCACCGGAUACCAGGAACCGCGGGACGGUGCUAUCCAAUUUUUCUGCACUACUAUUUCCGUAGCAUGUCGAAUGCCGGACGAUUUCACGAAAUGAGAUACAUGUAGCGCGAAGGAUACACUAAAUUGUUUAAUUGAGUUGGUUAGAUUUAUAUUAUUGUAUGCUUCUUGGAAGAUUAAUGCUUUGCGACUGUAACUGCUACUCUUAAUGGCGACUACAGAUUUUGUUUUGUUGUAGUAACUAUGAUUUAAGAAAU
Nomia melanderi (Alkali bee) is the source of this 1053-nucleotide long non-coding RNA. RefSeq lists it as uncharacterized. The record is from RefSeq and is a predicted model, not a curated record. Lineage: Eukaryota; Metazoa; Arthropoda; Insecta; Hymenoptera; Halictidae.